GCUUCCAUAGUGUAGUGGUUAGCACUUCGGACUCUGAAUCCGGCAACACGAGUUCAAAUCUCGUUGGAAGCA
RNAcentral lists this transfer RNA (72 nucleotides) under Flavobacteriaceae bacterium. Its description in RNAcentral is "tRNA-Gln". It matches the Rfam family "tRNA". From Rfam's summary of the family: Transfer RNA (tRNA) molecules are approximately 80 nucleotides in length. Their secondary structure includes four short double-helical elements and three loops (D, anti-codon, and T loops). Lineage: Bacteria; Pseudomonadati; Bacteroidota; Flavobacteriia; Flavobacteriales; Flavobacteriaceae. The record is from RNAcentral.